This 1288-nucleotide ribosomal RNA is filed under the name Staphylinidae sp. BMNH 1274669. Its description in RNAcentral is "16S ribosomal RNA". The stretch from base 1052 to 1210 matches the Rfam family "Archaeal large subunit ribosomal RNA", at positions 2542 to 2701 of the family's 2987-position model. The record is from RNAcentral. Lineage: Eukaryota; Metazoa; Arthropoda; Insecta; Coleoptera; Staphylinidae.
AAUUUAAUUUGAGUUUUACUUUAUUAUUAUUAUAUUAUUUACAAAAAUAUUUUUUAGUUUAAUUAAAAAGUAAAUAAAGAAAAAAUUAUGAAUAUGAUAGUUAAUUAGUAAAGUGAUUGAAUUAAUUUAAAAUUAUUAAAGAUAAGUUAAUUUAUUGUACCUUGUGUAUCAGGGUUUAUUAAUUAAAUAUUAAAGAAUUUAAUUUUCUCGAUUUUAAAAGAGUUAAUUAUUUAUAAAUUUUAUUGUGAAAGAAAUAUUUAUAAUAUAUAAUUGGUAAUGAAAUGUUAUUCGUUUUUAAAGAUAUCUAGUUUUUAAAGAAAAAAAUUAAAUUUUAUAAAAUAUAUAAUUUAGUUAAUUUUAAAAAAAAAUUUAUAUUUUAAGUUAUAUUAAUUGGGAUAAGCUAAUUAAUAAAUUAUUAUAAAUUAAUAUAAAUUAAUUUUAAAAUAUAGGGUUAGAAAUUUUCAUUAAAUAGUUUGUUAUAAUUAAUUAAGGUUUAAUAAAAAUUUGUAUUAAUUUUAAUUUUUUUAUUUAAAUGUUAGAAAUAAUAAAAUUUUUUAAGUAAUAAUGAUAGAAUUAGUAUAAUAUAAUGUAAGUUAUAGUUGAUAUUUAAUGUUAUAAAAAAGAAUUCGGCAAGUAUAUUUUUCGCCUGUUUACUAAAAACAUGUCUUUAUGAGUAUUGAUUUAAAGUCUAACCUGCCCAAUGAGAAGUUUAAUGGCCGCAGUAUUUUGACUGUGCAAAGGUAGCAUAAUCAUUAGUUUUUUAAUUAAAAACUGGAAUGAAGGGUUGAACGAGAAAGUAACUGUUUCUUUAUUAAUUUUUUAGAAAUUUAUUUUUAAGUUAAAAAGCUUAAAUAUAAUUAAAAGACGAGAAGACCCUAUAGAGUUUUAUAUAAUGUAAAUAUAAUUAUAAAUAUUGAAUUUUUGAAAUUUUAUAUUGUUUUAUAUUUGGUUGGGGUGAUUAAAAAAUUUAUAAAACUUUUUAUUUUAAAGAAUCAUUGAUUUAUGAUUGAUUGAUCCAUUAAUUAUGAUUAGAAGAUUAAAUUACCUUAGGGAUAACAGCGUUAUUUCUUUUUAGAGUUCAAAUCGAUAAAGAAGUUUGCGACCUCGAUGUUGGAUUAAAUUUAAUUUUUGGUGUAGAAGCUAAAAUAUUAGGUCUGUUCGACCUUUAAAAAUUUACAUGAUCUGAGUUUAAACCGGUGUGAGCCAGGUUGGUUUCUAUCUUUAAUUAUUAUAAAAUAUUUUAGUACGAAAGGACCAAAUAUUUAUAAAAUUUAUUUAUUAUGAAUAU